RNAcentral lists this long non-coding RNA (299 nucleotides) under Ictidomys tridecemlineatus (thirteen-lined ground squirrel). Its description in RNAcentral is "lncRNA (ENSSTOG00000031890.1)". The record is from RNAcentral. Lineage: Eukaryota; Metazoa; Chordata; Mammalia; Rodentia; Sciuridae.
UUGUCACUUUUAUCAUUGUCCCCAUCAGAUCUUCUGAGUGUCCACCGUGAAGAGUUGCAUAGUUACUGCCUUCUUUCCUGGGAAUCUUAAGGUAGCAUCUUCCUGUAACAGCCAGCCCACAACAAAGAAGCCUACCAGGAAAAUGAAAAGUCUCUCUCCAUCAAGAGCCAAGUCAGGAGAAGGGGGAGUGGGCACAAGGAAGCAGGACAUGGACACUCAAGAAGUUCAAGGUGUCACCUUGGAAUUUCACAGCAGAAUUAUUGCCGCAAAAAUUGAAUAUUUCUGUCCAGUCAUAGAUA